AACGCACAUUGCGCCCUUUGGUAUUCCGAAGGGCAUGCCUGUUCGAGCGUCAUUAUCACCCCUUCAAGCCCUCGUGCUUGGUGUUGGACGGUCCGGUGGAGAGUCAUCCUUUCCACCCGUCCUAAAGACAAUGACGGCGGCCUCGUGGAACCCCCGGUACACUGAGCUUCUUAACUGAGCACGUAUCGGAUCAAGGGAUCUCAGGACGCGGUCUAUCUCCCCUCCUGGGGAAAUUUUUCUCAAGGUUGACCUCGGAUCAGGUAGGAAUACGCGCUGAACUUAA
This 283-nucleotide unclassified non-coding RNA is filed under the name uncultured Chaetothyriales. RNAcentral describes it as "sequence contains 5.8S rRNA gene, ITS2, 28S rRNA gene". The stretch from base 1 to 52 matches the Rfam family "5.8S ribosomal RNA", at positions 103 to 154 of the family's 154-position model. The record is from RNAcentral. Lineage: Eukaryota; Fungi; Ascomycota; Eurotiomycetes; Chaetothyriales.